Molecule: long non-coding RNA, 358 nt
Filed under: Ananas comosus (pineapple)
Lineage: Eukaryota; Viridiplantae; Streptophyta; Magnoliopsida; Poales; Bromeliaceae
Description: long non-coding RNA (ACOM_LNC010683)
Source: RNAcentral
GGAAAACUUCAAAAACCCCCCCUGUGGUUUCGUGCAUUCUCACUUUGCUACCCUGUGGUUUAAAAACGUAUCAUUUUGUCUCCCUGUGGUUUCGUUUUUAUCUUUUUGUUAUCAAUUUUAUUAUUAUUUUUUUUUAAAAUCAGUGACAAAAUUAAAAUUAAAGGAUACUAAAGUGACUAUUCGAUAAAUAUAGAUGGUUAUCUGAAGUUUUUUGUAUAUAAUUUAACGAAAUAUUAACGAAAAAACUUCCGAAAAGAUAAAAAUGAAACCACAGGGGGGUAAAUUGAUACAUUUUAAACUACAGGGUAGCAAAGUGAGAAUGCACGAAACCACAGGGGGGGUUUUUGAAGUUUUCCCU